AUGCCUAUUGCCUAUUGUGAUGAUUAUGAUUGGGAAGAUAAUGAUACUUCUUAUGAUCUUGAAAAUCUUUUUGGCACUUGCUUGGAAGAAUAUGAUAAUUGCUAUACUAUUGGUGAUAUCCAUACUAUUAAUGAUGAGAGUGAUUAUGCUUAUGAUAUGAAAAGGCCCAAGCUUGGGGAUGCUAUUUUUGAUGAAUAUGAUGUUUUUGAGAAUAUAUUUGCUGCAAUUAAUGUUUGUCCCAAGCUUGGGGAUGCUACGUUUAAUGAAGAUGAUAUUUUUAGUCUCCCAAGUUUUGAUAUGCAAAUUUAUAAUGAUGAUAGCAUGCCUCCUACUUAUGAUGAUUAUAUUGAUGAAAGUGGGUUUGGAAGAGUGUCAACUUUAGGAAGUAAUGAUCCCACUAUUUUGGAGGAUUUUGAAUCUUAUUAUGAUAAUUAUGAAAGUGGAUUUGGAGAGGUCAUGACUUUAUUUAGUGAUGAUUCCACUAUCUUGGAAGAGGUUUCAAUCGAUUAUGAUGAGAACAAAGUUGCUACUUGUGAUGAUUAUUGUGAUGACACAUAUGCUAUAAAAAGUAGUGAUCAUUAUAUUUAUAAAACUUGUCAUGAUUAUGAUUACCCUUUUUUUGAACAUUACUCUUUUAAUGUGGAAACAAUUUAUAGUAUUAGAGUUUCUUAUGAUACUCCCACUAUUCCAAAUGAGAAGAAUUUUGCUUAUAUGGAGAGUAAUAAAAUUUCUAUGCUUGUAGAUCAUGAAAAGAAUGCUUUAGGUGAUGGUUAUAUUGUUGAAUUCAUUCAUGAUGCUACUGAAAAUUAUUAUGAGGGAGGAAUAUAUGCUUGUAGGAAUUGCAAUAAUAUCAAGUUUCCUCUCUAUGUGCUUAAAGUUAUGAAGUUAUGCUUGUUUUACCUUCCUAUGCAAGUUGAUUCCUGUUCCCAUAAGUUGUUUUCUCACAAAAUCCCUAUGCAUAGGAAGAGGGUUAGGCUUAAAUGUUCUAGUAAUAUUCUUCAUGAUGCUCUCUUUAUGUUUCAAUUCUUAUCUUGUAUGUGA
This 1041-nucleotide ribosomal RNA is filed under the name Triticum aestivum (bread wheat). RNAcentral describes it as "partial small subunit ribosomal RNA". Lineage: Eukaryota; Viridiplantae; Streptophyta; Magnoliopsida; Poales; Poaceae. The record is from RNAcentral.